Molecule: long non-coding RNA, 425 nt
Filed under: Homo sapiens (human)
Lineage: Eukaryota; Metazoa; Chordata; Mammalia; Primates; Hominidae
Description: non-protein coding lnc-LEPROTL1-3:2
Source: RNAcentral
ACAAAUCUGAGAGUUAAAAACUCUGGGAGAAUCAACUAUCCAGUGUUCAGUCACUUCCUUUGAAAGGCUACUACAUCAUGGUGACUUGAUCCAAACAUCGAAGUUAACAUUCCAUCACCUAAACUAUACUGAAGGCUGGAGGGAGGGGAAGCCAACAGAGGAGAGGUCAGAAGAGAAGGAAAUCUAUAAUGGUCAGAAGAGGAAAUUAAUAGACAUGGUCUAAGAUUGAUAAAUCAAGAAAUCAUCAUAGAUGAAGGUGAAUGCCAAGAAAAACAAGCCCCAGAGAUGAAAGCAACUGUCUCUGAAGUGAAACUGGAGGCUGGAAGGGGAAGGGAGGGAACUGAAGUUUUUCAUCCUAAGCUUUUUAAUUCUAUGACUGUUUUCCUCCAUAUGUGUGUGUGACUUUGAGACACAUUAUUUACUUU